Molecule: ribosomal RNA, 394 nt
Filed under: uncultured bacterium
Lineage: Bacteria
Description: partial 16S ribosomal RNA
Rfam family: Bacterial small subunit ribosomal RNA
Source: RNAcentral
AUACGUAGGGGGCGAGCGUUGUCCGGAAUGAUUGGGCGUAAAGGGCGCGUAGGCGGCCCGGUAAGUCUGGAGUGAAAGUCCUGUUUUUAAGAUGGGAAUUGCUUUGGAUACUGUCGGGCUUGAGUGCAGGAGAGGUAAGUGGAAUUCCCAGUGUAGCGGUGAAAUGCGUAGAGAUUGGGAGGAACACCAGUGGCGAAGGCGACUUGCUGGACUGUAACUGACGCUGAGGCGCGAAAGUGUGGGGAGCAAACAGGAUUAGAUACCCUGGUAGUCCGCACAGUAAACGAUGGACACCCGCGGUUUGGCCUGUAUGGCUGAGCCGCCAAGCGAAAGCGUUAAGUGUCCCACCUGGGGAGUACGCCGGCAACGGUGAAACUCAAAUGAAUUGGCGGGG